AGAGUUUGAUCCUGGCUCAGGACGAACGCUGGCGGCGUGCUUAAUACAUGCAAGUCGAGCGAGGUUACUGUUUCGGAUCCCCUCGGGGUGAAGAAGCUUUAACCUAGCGGCGGACGGGUGAGUAACGCGUGGGUAACCUACCCCAAAGUCCGGGAUAACAGCGGGAAACCGCUGCUAAUACCGGAUGCCUUUACCUUGGGGCAUCUUGAGGUAAAGAAAGGCAACGCUUUGGGAUGGGCCCGCGUCCCAUUAGCUAGUUGGUGAGGUAACGGCUCACCAAGGCGACGAUGGGUAGCCGGCCUGAGAGGGUGGACGGCCACACUGGGACUGAGACACGGCCCAGACUCCUACGGGAGGCAGCAGUAGGGAAUAUUGCGCAAUGGACGGAAGUCUGACGCAGCGACGCCGCGUGAGCGAUGAAGGUCUUCGGAUCGUAAAGCUCUGUCCUUGGGGAAGAAGGCGAAAGCUUGACGGUACCCAAGAAGAAAGCCCCGGCUAACUACGUGCCAGCAGCCGCGGUAAU
RNAcentral lists this ribosomal RNA (523 nucleotides) under uncultured bacterium. RNAcentral describes it as "bacterial SSU rRNA". It matches the Rfam family "Bacterial small subunit ribosomal RNA", at positions 8 to 524 of the family's 1533-position model. The record is from RNAcentral.